AAUGGCAUUGGCCAUUGUUUUGAUUUCAACUAGUGUGGUUUCUGCUGCUGCAGAUAGUUAUAUUUACUCUUCUCCUCCACCACCUUACGAGUAUAAGUCGCCACCGCCACCAUCACCUUCACCACCACCUCCUUAUGUUUACAAAUCGCCACCUCCUCCAUCCCCAUCACCUCCACCACCUUAUGAGCACAAGGCUCCUGCUUAUGAGUACAAGUCACCACCACCACCAACUCCUUCACCACCACCUCCUUAUGUGUACAAGUCACCACCACCGCCAUCUCCUUCACCACCACCUCCUUAUGUGUACAAGUCACCACCACCACCCUCACCUUCCCCACCACCACCAUACUACUACAAGAGUCCUCCACCACCUUCUCCUUCACCUCCACCUCCUUACUACUACAAAUCUCCUCCACCACCCUCACCUUCCCCACCACCACCAUACUAUUACAAGUCUCCUCCACCACCAUCUCCCUCACCUCCACCACCAUAUUACUACAAGUCUCCCCCACCACCCUCACCCUCCCCUCCACCCCCAUAUAUACACAAGGAUCCACCAUACUAUUACAAGUCCCCACCACCACCUUCACCAUCUCCUCCACCACCAUACUACUACAAAUCUCCCCCACCCCCUUCACCGUCUCCUCCACCACCAUACUACUACAAAUCUCCUCCUCCUCCAUCUCCUAUUCCCAAAACACCUUACUACUACAAAUCUCCCCCACCCCCUUCACCAUCUCCUCCACCACCAUACUACUACAAAUCUCCCCCACCCCCUUCACCGUCUCCUCCACCACCAUACUACUAUAAAUCUCCCCCACCACCGUCACCCUCUCCACCACCACCUUACUAUUACAAGUCUCCUCCCCCACCUUCACCAUCUCCUCCACCACCAUACUACUACAAAUCUCCUCCUCCUCCAUCUCCUAUUCCCCAUACACCUUACUAUUACAAAUCUCCCCCACCACCUUCACCAUCUCCUCCACCACCAUACUACUACAAAUCUCCUCCUCCUCCAUCUCCUAUUCCCCGUACACCUUACUAUUACAAAUCUCCCCCACCACCUUCACCAUCUCCUCCACCACCAUACUACUACAAAUCCCCUCCUCAUCCAUCUCCCAUUCCCCAUACACCUUACUAUUACACAUCUCCCCCACCACCUUCACCGUCUCCUCCACCACCAUAUUACUACAAAUCUCCUCCCCCUCCGUCUCCUAUUCCCCACACACCUUACUACUACAAGUCCCCACCACCACCAAAGGUCCUUCCACCACCAUACUAUUACAAUUCUCCUCCUCCACCUGUUGUGUAUCCUCACCCAUAUCCCUACCACCACUCACUUAUUGUGAGGGUAGUCGGUAAAGUCUACAGCUUCAGAUGUUAUGAUUGGAAUUAUCCUGCAAAGUCUCAUAACAAGAAACAUCUCAAAGGUACAUUACAUUUCUUAGGACCGGACCUCUUUAGAGUAAUGUGUUUAGAGAUAAUGCACAAUUUUUUAUUUUUUUAUCUCGUAAAGGUUUAUUUAUUAUAAUCACAAUUUCACUUUUGUCAAAAAGAAAAACAAUUUUACUAUAUAUAGUUUUAAUCAUUAACAUUUUGAUGUAAAAAGAAUACAAUUCUCUAUUACCUUUUUACUAUGAUAUAUAUACAAAGAUUAUUCAAAUCUAUAUAUCCAACCUAAUUUCCAUCCAAAAAAAUAGAAAACAUAGGGUGCUUUGAACGCCUGCAGCAUCACAUGAAUAAAUAAAAACAAUCAAUAAUCAACCUUGUUCUAAUUUAUUUUAGACAGCGAUUGUUAAGCAUACUGCUCUUUUAAUUACAUUUUUUUUAAAGAUGCUCUUUUAAUUAUAUUGUCCUAAUAUAAUAUGUGUCUUUAUAUAUUACUUGUCGUAAACUAAUUUUAUUAUGGGUGCAGGAGCUGUUGUUGAGGUGACAUGCAAAGCCGGGAGCAAAAUUGUCAAGGCUUAUGGAAAAACUAAGAACAAUGGAAAGUAUGCCAUCACAGUUAAGGACUUUGACUAUGUCAAAUAUGGUUCGACAGUGUGCAAGGCUGCCCUAUAUGCUCCACCUAAGGGUUCACCCUUCAACAUACCUACAAAGCUAAAUCAAGGAACAAAGUUGUACUUGAAAUCCAAAGACAAGUACGAGGUUGUGCUCAAGGCUAAGCCAUUUGCUUAUGCUUCAAAGAAACAUUUCAAAGAAUGUGAGAAGCCUAAGCCUUCACCAACUCCUUACUACUACAAAUCACCUCCACCUCCCUCACCAGUUUACAAAUACAACUCACCACCUCCACCGGUCCAUUAUUAUUCACCUCCAUACACCUACAAGUCACCUCCUCCCCCUGUGAAAGCGGCACCAACUCCUUACUACUACAAAUCACCUCCACCACCCGCACCGGUUUACAAGUACAACUCACCCCCUCCACCGGUCCAUUAUUAUUCACCACCAUAUACCUAUAAGUCACCUCCUCCCCCUGUGAAAGCGGCACCAACUCCUUACUACUACAAAUCACCUCCACCUCCCGCACCGGUUUACAAGUACAACUCCCCACCUCCACCGGUCCAUUAUUAUUCACCUCCAUAUACCUACAAGUCACCUCCUCCCCCUGUGAAAGUGGCACCAACUCCUUACUACUACAAAUCACCUCCACCACCCGCACCGGUUUACAAGUACAACUCACCACCUCCACCGGUCCAUUAUUAUUCUCCACCAUACUACUACAAGUCACCACCCCCACCAUCUCCAUCACCUCCUCCACCAUACUAUUUCAAAUACUAUUACAAGUCCCCACCUCCACCAUCACCAUCCCCUCCUCCACCUUAUUAUUACAAAUCUCCUCCUCCACCAAAACAAAUUUCACACCCUCCAUACUACUAUAAGUCACCACCCCCACCAUCACCAUCACCUCCUCCACCAUACUAUUAUAAGUCUCCACCUCCACCAUCACCAUCUCCCCCACCACCUUAUUAUUAUAAGUCACCACCCCCACCAUCCCCGUCCCCUCCUCCACCAUACUACUACAAGUCUCCACCUCCACCUAAAGAAAUAUCACAUCCUCCAUAUAACUAUAAGUCACCACCCCCACCAUCACCAUCCCCUCCCCCUCCAUACUAUUACAAAUCUCCUCCACCACCAUCACCAUCACCACCACCUCCCUACUAUUACAAAUCACCUCCACCACCAUCACCAUCACCUCCCCCUCCAUACUAUUACAAAUCUCCUCCACCACCAUCACCAUCACCACCACCUCCUUACUAUUACAAAUCACCUCCACCACCAUCCCCAUCACCACCACCUCCAUACUACUACAAAAGUCCCCCUCCACCAUCUCCAUCUCCUCCAUCCCCAUAUUACUACAAAUCUCCACCACCACCAUCACCAUCCCCACCCCCUCCCUACUAUUACAAAUCACCUCCACCUCCCUCACCAUCACCGCCACCUCCUUACUAUUACAAAUCACCUCCACCUCCCUCACCAUCACCGCCACCUCCUUACUAUUACAAAUCUCCCCCACCUCCAUCUCCAUCUCCACCACCUCCUUACCACUAUCAAAGUCCUCCUCCACCAUCUCCCAUUUCUCAUCCUCCCUACUACUACAAAUCCCCUCCACCACCAUCGCCGUCUCCUCCACCUCCUUACCACUAUGUGAGUCCUCCCCCACCAGUAAAGUCACCUCCACCACCAACUUAUAUCUAUGCUUCACCACCACCACCUCACUACAACUAAGCUCAAAGAGCAGAAGCUCCGUUCAUUAUAAAUCAUGUAAGUUUAUCAUCUUCAAUUUUCUGAAUGUGUGCGUGUGUAUUUGUUUUUUUGUUACAAGAUACUAACAAAAUUCUUUUCUUAUUUAUGUUCAGGUUUUAGUUUUCAUCUAGGAAUAAAGGCAAGCUCCAUUUGGAGUAAAGUGAAACUUCUAGCUUCGUGUCCGAAUUCGUUAAAUAAAUGUCGGGAUGUAUCGUCUUUGAGCUAUAAUAUUUCUGAUCCAGACAAUAUCUAUUUUGUUUCUUUGGUGGCAAUCUUGCACUUCCUGGUCUUAGUCUAUUCAAGUGACAGACAAAUCAAAAGGGAGAAGCGAGAUUAAUUUAUUUGUGAUCUCUUUGAUUUAUUUGUGCAUAUAUCAAUAUGAACGUGUAUGAUAUUUUUCUAUUUAUUGAAGAUUUUUUUACUGUAACCUGUUAUUGUGUUUGUCAAAAGGUGUUAAUAAAGAAUCACAUUCAAUUUCUGUUAAAUUAUCAGUAUUUGUUUCUUUCUAACAACUACCAUUCAUGCAAAUGUGGCUAUUAAAAAAAGCUCCAAUGACACAUAAAAAGCUUCCAAACAAUAUAUAAACAAAGAUGCAUUGUUUUCUGUUAAGAAGGGGACAGGGUUACGGUUACUUGUGUACCAAGUUAGUUAUCCAUGCUUUCUUGUUCAUAGGAUUUAUAUGGUGUAGUUGCACUUAGUUGCUAAAUGUAUGCAAGCUUUUCCUUUCUAUAAAUAAGCACACCUACUAUCAUUCUUCUCCACAUUCCUUUCUACUCUUCUAUCAUGAAUUGUUCAUCCACAUAAGAUGGUCACAGAGCACACCUAAUACUCUGCUACUGGUGUAUCAGUUCCUUUCCACCAGAAACUUAUGAUCUCUAAUUGAAAGAGAUCCUAAAGUUUUAAGAUUUCUACAAAAUACAUUAUUCUCAUUUUUGUACAAGUAUGAUACAAUUAUUCCCAAGUAUUAUUUAUUCUAAGGAAUAGAAUUUAGUUGUGGUUUCUCUAUUUAACCAACAUUUAUUUUUAAAUAACUAAAUUUAAAAAAAAAAUCCUGAAAUUAUUAAGUACAUACCUAACACAUUGUAAAAUUUUGUUCCCAAAGAAAAUAUUUUUGGCAAUAGAAUUUUCAGGAACUUCAUUCCUAGGAAUAUAAUUCUAUACUAAGAGAAGAGCUUAAGCAUUGAUACAUAACAAGACCAAUCCAUAUCCUAAUCACAAUCCUACUUUCACUAAAUACUUUCACUUAAGUGUGGUCUUGGAAAGGACAAAUGAAGAAAGACAUUCCAGAGGUAUGGUAAGGGACAAUAUCUGCAGUUAUGCACAUAUUGCAAGAUUGUGAGGAACUACCGGACUGAUUUGAUUCACCAAAAAAUUUGGAAUAAAUAUUUCAGCCCAGAACUCAGACAAUGACUGGAUUGGAACCUUUCAGCUUCUAAUAUCGGUACUGUCCAAGGAAAUAGUCAUUCUCUUUUUGGAGUAGCUGUGAAGGAUUUAUGGAAAGAUAGAACUAAGCUGGUCUUUUCUAGAAACACCGCGAUUGGAACUACUCUAUUUUGGCUUGUAGCCAAUCCGGCUAAGUUUAUUAACAAUGUAGUUUGUACUCAAGCUCACAGUCACGAUGUUGUCAGCAACAGUGGGCAUAUUGUUUAGGUAGCCUGGAAUUUUCCUCCCCAACACUUCUUCAAAGUGAAUAUGAUGGAUCUCUACGGGAUUAUGUUAGUUUCCAGGAUCGAACUCAGAACCUCCUGAUUAUAACUCCUUCAAUGUAUGUCCCUUACCCACGUGGGGCCUCGGCUGUAAUUGUUAACAUGGUAAAAUUUGGCUCUUCCAAUAAUGGUUUUAUCCAAACUCGAGGUUGUUUAUCGUCUCCAACAAUCAGAUUGGAGAAUACUAGUGGUUCAUGCAUUUGAACAAACCAACUGUUGUGCAGAUUUUCUAGUUGAUUUUGUUUUUCCUUUUUUGAGUAUUUUAUUAGCCAAUGAUAUAAGAGGUUGUAGCCUACCUCUUUUGAUUUCUUAAGACAAUCACUUUUGCAUUAGAAAAAAACGACCCUACAUAAAAUUAAUGAUUGAAUUAAGAUAUAACUUCAGUUUGAAAUAUUGUAAAAUUCUAUACCACCAAAAACUGAGAAUUUUAGAACCAUACAGGUUGGUGGAGUGGUCAUCCAGAUAACUUUAACAUAAUUAACAGUCCAAAAAGUAAAUAGCUUUAUCCUUUAUUUUCAAUCUGAUGUGAUUUACUCUUAUCUGUUAAACAUUAUAAUUAAGAAUCCAAAGGGAACACUCACCUAAUCUCUCUCUUUUUUCUAGCUUUUUCACUAAACCACUGUGUCUGUGGUUACCACAUUUCCUUAUGGAAUCAAUAUCCAAUUUAUGUUAAAAACCAUUUCUACAUUUUGUGUUAAAAAUGAUCUAAACAAAGAUGAUUUAUUUCUCUUAAAUUCAACAUAGAUCAUAUUUACAUGGUUCAAACUUUCUAUUACACGGCAUUGACUUAGUUGCUUCACAUGGGGACACAACUAAUGCAUAUAUUAUUUUAUAUGCUUAUAGUAAUUUUAACAAGUGGCAAUGGGGCAUAUGUUUUGUCAAAAAAACACAAAAAACAGGAGGCAUGUGCAACUGAAGUCACUGCCAGCUUGGCACUAAGAUAUAGUAAAAUAAUUGACAUUUGAAGAAAACAAAGACGUUGCUACAUUUCUAUUCAAACAAGCGACAUCAAUAUCAGACAAUGGUGCUACAUUUAAUAAUACUACAGCUAUCCCCAUAAGCACCUCUUAGAAAGAAAAAAAAAUAUCCAUUAAAUUAAUGUUGGAAGAGUUAGCAACAUGUCCUCUCCCAAAAAAACUCAUGUUUGAUUCCUAGAGUCGUCCAUUUCGAAAGAAGCUCAACCCUGAUAAUAAAAACCUAGAUGUUAUGCUGCAGACUUAAAGAUCAAUUUCAUAAUGGAUCCAAAGGGCCUAAGCUGUGUGGGAUACUUAAGGGGGUAUAUUGAGGCUAAGGGUCAAAGAUCUUAAUUAUGGUCGGUUAAAAAAAGAAGAAAAAAAAAUUAUCUCUAAAUAUAAAGUCAACAAUAUUUCAAAUUGCAAGAUACAUUUAUUUAUUUUUUAAAUAUGUAUAUACCUCUUAUUAAUACUUACUAAUUUGUUUUGAGUGAUAAAAAGUUACGAGUUAGACAGAUCAGCACAUAAAAAAAGUAUUUGAAAAACAUCUACCAACAAAAUAAACACAUUAAAAACAAUACUACUUUUUUACAAUACUGUAUGUGAAAAUGACAAAAUCUUGAAAAAGAUGGAGGUAACAUGUACUCUUUUUUUUUUAGAGGGGAGCAUGUACUUUUCCACUAACAAUGUUGAUAAGAAACAUAUAAAAUACUAUUAGAGAAAGAAAAAAAAUAAUAAAUAAAGAAAUAUAUAAAAUACUGAGGAAUGACUCACUCAUGUCAAAUUUUAGCAAGGGAGAAGUGAUAUCACAUCAUUUUAGAAGAGGAAUGAGAAUAGAUAGAUCUAAUUUUUCUAGUAAGUUUGAAUAGUAGAAUCAUACUUCUUUGUCUUUUGUGAAAAUUUCAUAUUAUGGGAUCUAUUACUAGAAUACAGGUGAUUUUAUUCUGGAAGAUUGACUUUUUAUUAAAAUAAAAUAAAAGUACAUUUUUUAUUUCCAAAUGCUUAGUUGUUCAUUUAUAAAUAUUACAUUAUCCAACAGCACCAAACCCUAUUUCAUAACGGUACUCUGCACGUUUCAUUCAUUUACUGGUGCCUUAGUUUUUUGUUACAAACAGACAUUGAUCAGAGGAACAAAUGUAGAGACAAAUUGAAGAUAAUAUAUCACAUAAUAUUGUAGACACACCUUCACAUACAAAUGGGGUAAAGUCCCUCAUAGUAGUAUUAGAAAUAACACUUAGAGUAAAAUUUUGCUAAAUUUAACAUGAAAAUAAGUGUAAUGUAUUUUAUAGGCAGCUAUACAUAAUUAUUAAUUAGAACAAUUUUUUACACUGUCAAACAAAAAUUGAACAAUUUUUUACUAGCUUUAUGCUUUAUGAUGUUUUGAUUCCAUGUGCACAUUUCAAUUUUAGAACUAUUCCUUUCUAUGUUACUGAAAUAAUUCUAUCAUUAGGCAUUGACAUUUCCAUUAUGCGUGCACGUUAAAGUGUUUUCCCAAACAGAGAAAUAUUAAGAAAGGUUAAACUUUUGACUUAAAGACACAACUAAAAUAAGAUCCAAGGAAAACCCCAUUGAUUAUUUCUUGCACAAAAUUAAAAACCCCAUUGAUUAUUUCUUGCACAAAAUUAAAAUGCUAAUAAUUUUUCCUGGUCUAUAUUUUUCUCCUUCCGGGAAAUGGCAACAUCACAUGUUCAUCUCAUAAUUGAGAAAACACAUGUCUGGGAAAAUAUCUUAAAGAAAAGGCAGUAAAGUAAUAAAAAGUGCACCAAAUAGAGAUUAACUAGUACUCUUUGCAUGUCAACUAAGUGGUAUAAUUAUGUAUAUCACAUUCUUAAUAUUGAUUAUCUUGAUUGCACGAUAAGCCCCUCAAAUUGCUCAAUCGAUGAUUGCUUGAUAAGCCCAUCAAAUUGCCCAAUCGAUCGAAUCGUAACUUUCGAUAGACAUUUUUUUUAAGAAAACCCAAUUGGAUCAUAACUCCCCAUAGUCAUUUAUUUGAAAUUGUGAGCAAUUUGAUAACUUAUUGAGCAAUCACCAUUGAUUUUAGUCUCAAUUUAUCCUAAUGUUGUAACCCUGGAAUAAUGGAACAGUGAGUAAAUUUGGUUUCUCCGUCUCAAAAUAAGUGUCACAAUUUAACCAUGUGCACUACUCAUCAAAUCUACUUUGACAACAUUUUUUUUACUAAUAUAUAAAGACAAUGUUAGUACAUUACAUGUUCGAUUUGUCUUAGUUAAUGUUUUUAAAAUAUCGACUUUAUUAUAAUUUUUCUUAAUAGACAAUCAAAAAUAUCAAUUGUCAAAAUUGUGUAUUGAUAUGUAUGAAAAUCAAACUAUAACACUUACUUUGAGACGAAGAGAAUAACUAUUAAAAACUAAUGUUCAAAUAGAAAGAAAAGAAAACAAAGAUUCCAUACAAAGCUUGCAAAAUAGCUACAAUCAUAACCUAGAACAAAAAUCAUGACCACACACUAUAUCCAUUUUCCUUUUCCUAAAAAGCAAUUGAAGAUAAAAAAAAAAAAAAUAAUAAAUAAAAAAAAAAAAAAAAAAAAAAAAAANACCACCAUACUACUACAAAUCCCCACCUCCACCAUCGCCUUCUCCUCCACCACCAUACUACUACAAAUCCCCACCUCCACCAUCGCCUUCUCCUCCACCACCAUACUACUACAAAUCCCCACCUCCACCAUCGCCUUCUCCUCCACCACCAUACUACUACAAAUCCCCACCUCCACCAUCGCCUUCUCCUCCACCACCAUACUACUACAAAUCCCCACCUCCACCAUCGCCUUCUCCUCCACCACCAUACUACUACAAAUCCCCACCUCCACCAUCGCCUUCUCCUCCACCACCAUACUACUACAAAUCCCCACCUCCACCAUCGCCUUCUCCUCCACCACCAUACUACUACAAAUCCCCACCUCCACCAUCGCCUUCUCCUCCACCACCAUACUACUACAAAUCCCCACCUCCACCAUCGCCUUCUCCUCCACCACCAUACUACUACAAAUCCCCACCUCCACCAUCGCCUUCUCCUCCACCACCAUACUACUACAAAUCCCCACCUCCACCAUCGCCUUCUCCUCCACCACCAUACUACUACAAAUCCCCACCUCCACCAUCGCCUUCUCCUCCACCACCAUACUACUACAAAUCCCCACCUCCACCAUCGCCUUCUCCUCCACCACCAUACUACUACAAAUCCCCACCUCCACCAUCGCCUUCUCCUCCACCACCAUACUACUACAAAUCCCCACCUCCACCAUCGCCUUCUCCUCCACCACCAUACUACUACAAAUCCCCACCUCCACCAUCGCCUUCUCCUCCACCACCAUACUACUACAAAUCCCCACCUCCACCAUCGCCUUCUCCUCCACCACCAUACUACUACAAAUCCCCACCUCCACCAUCGCCUUCUCCUCCACCACCAUACUACUACAAAUCCCCACCUCCACCAUCGCCUUCUCCUCCACCACCAUACUACUACAAAUCCCCACCUCCACCAUCGCCUUCUCCUCCACCACCAUACUACUACAAAUCCCCACCUCCACCAUCGCCUUCUCCUCCACCACCAUACUACUACAAAUCCCCACCUCCACCAUCGCCUUCUCCUCCACCACCAUACUACUACAAAUCCCCACCUCCACCAUCGCCUUCUCCUCCACCACCAUACUACUACAAAUCCCCACCUCCACCAUCGCCUUCUCCUCCACCACCAUACUACUACAAAUCCCCACCUCCACCAUCGCCUUCUCCUCCACCACCAUACUACUACAAAUCCCCACCUCCACCAUCGCCUUCUCCUCCACCACCAUACUACUACAAAUCCCCACCUCCACCAUCGCCUUCUCCUCCACCACCAUACUACUACAAAUCCCCACCUCCACCAUCGCCUUCUCCUCCACCACCAUACUACUACAAAUCCCCACCUCCACCAUCGCCUUCUCCUCCCCCACCUUACUAUUACAAAUCCCCACCGCCACCUUCACCAUCUCCCCCACCACCCUACUACUAUAAAUCACCCCCACCACCUUCACCAUCUCCUCCACCACCAUACUACUACAAAUCACCCCCACCGCCAUAUGAACACAAGACUAAACCAUACUAUUACAAGUCUCCUCCACCACCAUAUGAACACAAGACUAAACCAUACUAUUACAAGUCCCCACCACCACCUUCACCAUCUCCUCCACCACCAUACUAUUACAAGUCCCCACCACCACCUUCACCGUCUCCACCCCCACCAUACUACUACAAAUCACCUCCUCCUCCAUCACCUAUUCCCCAUACACCUUACUACUACAAGUCCCCACCACCACCUAAGGUUCUUCCACCACCAUACUAUUACAACUCUCCUCCUCCACCUGUUGUGUAUCAUCACCCUCAUCCCUACCACCAUGCAUUGAUCGUGAAGGUAGUGG
This 10814-nucleotide long non-coding RNA is filed under the name Medicago truncatula (barrel medic). Its description in RNAcentral is "long non-coding RNA (MTRU_LNC000785)". The record is from RNAcentral. Lineage: Eukaryota; Viridiplantae; Streptophyta; Magnoliopsida; Fabales; Fabaceae.